ACAUUCAAAAACAAAUAGGUCAUUAGGUGGCAGAGAGGAGAGAGGCUUGCCUAUGCCCAGCAUCCUGGCCAUGGACAUCUGGAUAGUUGAUAGCCUGACACU
Small nucleolar RNA from Myotis lucifugus (little brown bat), 102 nucleotides. The record is from Ensembl. NCBI's taxonomy places the organism in Eukaryota, Metazoa, Chordata, Mammalia, Chiroptera, Vespertilionidae.